GUACUAGCUGUCAGCUGCUGGAGACCUUGCUUUCUGUUUCACUGGGAAACAGAAGCAAUCAGAAGGAAACUUCCUCAGACUCCACCUCUCCCUUCACUCCCGCCUGUAUCCGUGCCUGUUACCUGGACGCCUUGUGGAACUUGAAUUCUACGCCCUCCACUGGGACACUGCCCUUCAUCCUCUCUCACCUCCUCCAGGACAACAAGACGGGAUUUCACCGUGUUAGCCAGGAUGGUCUCGAUCUCCUGACCUCGUGAUCCGCCUGUCUCGACCUCCCAAAGUGCUGGGAUUACAGAAUGUUGUAGUCCUCAUCAUCAGCAGAGACUUUGUGCCAUCCUCUGCUAUAUUAUCCUGAAGAGUGCCUGGCUCAUGCUGCAGUGUUCUGAAUAGCAGUCCAGCUAUGAGGGGAGGUGCCCGUGGCAGGCCUCAGCUGACCCUGGAGAGGCCAUUAAGACCUGGCUGUCGCCUCCACAGCUGCUCGGAGGCAGAGAAAGGUGGCUUUGUAAGAAGAAAAGAGAUCAUUCUUUUUCCACCAUGUGAGGACCCAGCAAGAGGGUGGCUGUCUGCAAACCCAGGGAGAGAGCCCUCACCAGGAAUCUGCUGGCACCUUAAUCUUGGACUUCCCAGCCUCCACAACUGUGAGGAAUAAAUGUAUGUUGUUUAAGCCA
This 668-nucleotide long non-coding RNA is filed under the name Homo sapiens (human). RNAcentral describes it as "myelodysplastic syndrome 2 translocation associated, transcript variant 6 (MDS2)". Lineage: Eukaryota; Metazoa; Chordata; Mammalia; Primates; Hominidae. The record is from RNAcentral.